RNAcentral lists this ribosomal RNA (752 nucleotides) under Golovinomyces monardae. RNAcentral describes it as "eukaryotic LSU rRNA". It matches the Rfam family "Eukaryotic large subunit ribosomal RNA", at positions 1 to 767 of the family's 3401-position model. The record is from RNAcentral. Lineage: Eukaryota; Fungi; Ascomycota; Leotiomycetes; Helotiales; Erysiphaceae.
UUGACCUCGAAUCAGGUAGGGAUACCCGCUGAACUUAAGCAUAUCAAUAAGCGGAGGAAAAGAAACCAACCGGGAUUACCUCAGUAACGGCGAGUGAAGCGGUAACAGCUCAAAUUUGAAAUCUGGCUCCUGCGGAGUCCGAGUUGUAAUUUGUAGAAGAUGCUUUGGGAGGUAGGGCCGGCCUAAGUUCCUUGGAACAGGACAUCAGAGAGGGUGAGAAUCCCGUAUGCGGCCGUGGCCUACGCCCGUGUAAAGCUCUUUCGACGAGUCGAGUUGUUUGGGAAUGCAGCUCAAAAUGGGUGGUAAAUUUCAUCUAAAGCUAAAUAUUGGCCAGAGACCGAUAGCGCACAAGUAGAGUGAUCGAAAGAUGAAAAGCACUUUGGAAAGAGAGUUAAACAGUACGUGAAAUUGUUGAAAGGGAAGCGCUUGCACCCAGACUUGGGCGUCGUCGAUCAUCCGAGGUUCUCCUCGGUGCACUCGACGAUGCACAGGCCAGCAUCGGUUUGGGUGGUUGGAGAAAGGCUCUAGGAACGUAGCUCUCUUCGGGGAGUGUUAUAGCCUAGGGCGUAAUGCAGCCCAUCCGGACCGAGGACCGCGCCUUCGGGCUAGGAUGCUGGCGUAAUGGUUGCAAGCGACCCGUCUUGAAACACGGACCAAGGAGUCUAACAUCUAUGCGAGUGUUUGGGCGUUAAACCCAUACGCGGAAUGAAAGUGAACGCAGGUGAGAACCCGUUAGGGUGCAUCAUCGACCG